ACAAAAGUAAUCGCGGUUUUUGUCAUUACUUUUAACUGUAAAAACCACGGUUACUUUUGC
This is a microRNA precursor of Gorilla gorilla gorilla (western lowland gorilla), 60 nucleotides long. NCBI's taxonomy places the organism in Eukaryota, Metazoa, Chordata, Mammalia, Primates, Hominidae. The record is from Ensembl.